GCCAGCCCUGGCCACCCCAUUCAAAGAAGGUUCCGACCCACUUUGGGGUCCUGACCCACAGUUUGAGAACUGCUGUGCUAGUCCAUGUUCCUCUGAGAAGAAAUGUGAUCAGUAUUCAAAGCGUGGGACUGGGAGACUUGAGGUCCUGAAUUGUAAACCUGGCUCUGUCAUUGAUUUGCACUGUGGUAAUUCAGGCUCUGAAGCUGUGGAAUGCCGAGCCCCUGCAGCUCCCAUUAACACCACUCUUAGCACCUAGGAGGAUCAACUUUUUACCCUCUUCCUAGAUUUCAUUCCCCUAAUAUAAAACAGGGCAUGGGAACCAUACUUCAUUGGUGUGUUGUGGAGACUGAUCAGUUAAUGGGCCAAAUUCUGCUCUCUUUCAUCUGUUCAGCACCCUGGACUUCAGGUGUAAUGGAUAAAAAGUUGGACAAACAUUGGGAUGCAUUCUUUUCUAAACAUGCAGUAUUUAAAAGCUGUCUGGCAUUACUGAUGUGGUCUUUGAGUCCAGCUGAAUGUAGUUUUUCCUGGGUGGCCUUUGCAGUUUUGCAGACCUAGAAGUGCUCUGAGAGAUGUUCACUGCAGGAAAUAAUUGGUGCCUAAUUGACAUUCCAGUGACUCCCUUGGGCUGGAGGGCACCUUUCCUGAAGACACUGGCUGAUGUUUAAACGUCUAAGCUACCUGCAGUCAUGUAGUAAACACACCCCUCUGGUAUGUGCUUUGUAUGAUAAAUUGGUGUCUCAUUCUUGCUAAUUGCUUUCUGGCUGCUUUAUCAACAGACAGGUAUCUUCUCCAAGCAGCUUUUAUGUGCUCUCUCCAGAAUUGUCAGGCUGACUCUGCUAACUGUUAGAACCCAAGGGCACAAUGGUAAGGCAGAGAGGGAAAGUUGCUGCAAUUAAUGCUGAUACAGGGUGUAUUAAGAUGAAAAGACUUUUCUCAAAAGUCCUAAACAGUGAAUGGCUGAUGUAUGGCGUGAGGAGGGUAAAUCAGGAAAGCUGGUACAGUAUGUUUCUUCUGAUGCAGUGACAUAUGGAAGAGAUGGUGCCUUGGAAGGGAGGGAGCAGAGAAGUUUGCCGCUGGCUCUGGAUAGCCCCAAUCCUGCUGCCACUGAAUUUCGCCACAAUCUUCAAUGGAAGCAGGAGGAGAAGGUGACCCAGCAACGAGUGUCUGUGUGAAAGAGCAGCUGCAAUCCAUUGGCCAUCCCCACUGAAUACCAGGAGGAGAGUGAAGAUGAAAGGUUUUCCCAGAGGUGAAGAAGUAGAACAAAAGAAACCAAAGGGACAGUCUGGAAGAAGAAAACAUCUGUGACAGUUUGGUCUGCUACUAUAAGGUAAAUGCCAUAAUAUCAGCCUGUACAGACAAUGUCUGCAUUUGGGGAUACAGAUUUAUCAAUGGAAGGCAGUAUUGUGUAGUGGUUAAAGCACCAAACUGCGUGCAAGACAGAGAUGUGACCAGAACCUAGAUAAGGGAUUCACAAUGCAAACUUGAGACAAUCACAUAAGCUCUCUGUCUCCAUUUCCCUAUUUGUAAAAUAGCAUACCGAUGUACUUCUGUGAAGUGCUUUAAGAUCCUUGACUGAGAAGUGCCAUGGAUAUAGCACAGAGGUAUCCAUCCAAUAAUCAGUGGAACAUCUCCUUUUCAAAUAAAGUCUCUAGAAAAUAACAGAAGCUCUCAGCUGUAAGAAAAGAGUAAGUAGAUUCAACCCAUUCCUAAUGAGCAGGCACAGCCUUUAAUUCCCUUCUUCCCUCCCUCUCUGGAGUUCCAUGGCAUCUCCUUAGACUUUGCUCUGUCAAACUGCAGGGCCUAAAUCUGCCCUGGCACCCCAGAAAAAGUAGAGAUAAAAGGAAAAAAAAUGUGUACAAGUCAGACAGGUGGAAAAGGCUAUUGGGCUUCCCUGGUAAUGUGAGAGCUUUUGAGUCCCUCCUAGACUCCCUGAUUUGACUGCAACAAAGAAUUCUGUGGCACCUUAUAGACUAACAGAUGUAUUGGAGCAUGAGCUUUUGUGGGUGAAUAGUAUUCACUGAAUACCCACUUCGUCAGAUCCUACAGCCUUAGUCAAAACUUCCACAGGCUUCAGUGAAAGUGUUACCAGAAGACAGACCUUGGAACCUGACCCAGCAAUAGUCUGUCCCCAUAGUAAAACAUAAAGCAAUUAAAGAGAGCAGACAUUUCAGCUAGUGCGAACCAGUACUUAGGCAGCUUCCUUCACCAAUGAUGUCAAAGUCCUUUAAAGCUAGCUGAGUACUAAUAUACCCAUUUUACAGGUGGUGAAACAAGCCCCAGGAAGCUUAACUUCACCAGGAUCAUGUGGAGAACCAGUAGAAUAUACGCUUGCUGGAUACCCUGUCAUCCAUUAGACCUUGCAGCCUUCGGGUGUAAAAAUACUUUUCAGUCUUUUAGCGGCUUCCAUGUUAUGAUUCCAAAGCAUUUUAUAAGCACUGAUCUUCUCAACAUCCCUCUAAGGUAGGAAAUCAUGAUUAACUACCCCUAUUUUAUAGAAAGUGAAAAUGAAGCACAGAGGAGAGAGUGGAGUGCCGCAGGUCACACACAAGCUCUGUGGUACAGCCAGAAAUAGAACCUUGUAUUCACAGUCUUAUGCCUUAACCACAAGCCCAGUGGUCCCCAACCU
Long non-coding RNA from Gopherus evgoodei (Goodes thornscrub tortoise), 2626 nucleotides. RefSeq lists it as uncharacterized. The transcript is spliced from 3 exons. The record is from RefSeq and is a predicted model, not a curated record. NCBI's taxonomy places the organism in Eukaryota, Metazoa, Chordata, Testudines, Testudinidae.